GUGGUGCUCAAGCUUGUGACUCCAGCAACACAUCCGGGUAAGGGGUUCGCCCCUUGCUAUUGACGCUGGGACAGGCUCCCACAUAAGCACAUCAAACGCCUGAAAGAGGCGCAGGGCGCAAGCUCUGGUGGGUUAUCAGAAAUUCAGGCGCUGGGCUUGCUCGAUGAUGCUUUGUGCACAGAGUUGGGACCAGUUGCCUUUGAAACAGGCCCAUGUGCGGCAAACCGUUAAGUGCAAUUCACAAGCCGACUUGCGAGUCGGACAUGAGUGGGAUGCUCUGACUGCCAC
This 288-nucleotide RNase P RNA is filed under the name Spizellomyces punctatus DAOM BR117. RNAcentral's name for it is "Nuclear RNase P". The stretch from base 87 to 262 matches the Rfam family "Nuclear RNase P", at positions 83 to 274 of the family's 301-position model. From Rfam's summary of the family: Ribonuclease P (RNase P) is a ubiquitous endoribonuclease, found in archaea, bacteria and eukarya as well as chloroplasts and mitochondria. Its best characterised activity is the generation of mature 5'-ends of tRNAs by cleaving the 5'-leader elements of precursor-tRNAs. Lineage: Eukaryota; Fungi; Chytridiomycota; Chytridiomycetes; Spizellomycetales; Spizellomycetaceae. The record is from Rfam by way of RNAcentral.